Talpa occidentalis (Iberian mole) is the source of this 533-nucleotide long non-coding RNA. RefSeq lists it as uncharacterized. The transcript has 3 exons. The record is from RefSeq and is a predicted model, not a curated record. Lineage: Eukaryota; Metazoa; Chordata; Mammalia; Eulipotyphla; Talpidae.
CCAGAUGAGCUAGUGUGGCCAGACCAACCCUACUCUGGGGGUGCUCUGUCAUUCUGGGUAAAACAUAAGUCACAGAACUCUGUUCAACAAAAGUCACAGGAUACUUUCUGGGCCUGCUCUCAAGAAGGAGGCUGGAAGGUUUAACACACUAAUAUGGGGGGUGGAGUGGAGAAAGGGGGAAGGGAACACCUGUUCAGGGAAGCCAUCCCCUGCCAAAAUGGAAACCCACAGUCAAGCACCAGGCAUUCCAGGUUUCUGAGGCUGGUGACAAAGCAGGCACCAGGACAGUAUUCCUGGGACAGAAUUCUCUCCCAUGACCAUGGAAGACUGCACAAGACUACCCAAAAGGGGCCUCGCUGGUGGCACAGGGGUUAAAGACACAGUGCAAUCAAGCUAUCACCAGCCACUGCAGCACGAAUUCGAUCACCGUCAGGCCAGCGAGUAACCUACAUGGCACAGCAAACCUCUCCUGUCUCGCCCGCUGCUCCCCUCAGCAGUGUUUCAGUAGAUCUGCCUAUUCUGCUCCCCACUCU